ACCCGCUGAACUUAAGCAUAUCAAUAAGCGGAGGAAAAGAAACCAACAGGGAUUGCCCUAGUAACGGCGAGUGAAGCGGCAACAGCUCAAAUUUGAAAUCUGGCGUCUUUGGCGUCCGAGUUGUAAUUUGCAGAGGGCGCUUUGGCAUUGGCAGCGGUCCAAGUUCCUUGGAACAGGACGUCACAGAGGGUGAGAAUCCCGUACGUGGUCGCUAGCCUUUACCGUGUAAAGCCCCUUCGACGAGUCGAGUUGUUUGGGAAUGCAGCUCUAAAUGGGAGGUAAAUUUCUUCUAAAGCUAAAUACUGGCCAGAGACCGAUAGCGCACAAGUAGAGUGAUCGAAAGAUGAAAAGCACUUUGGAAAGAGAGUUAAAAAGCACGUGAAAUUGUUGAAAGGGAAGCGCUUGCAGCCAGACUUGCCUGUAGUUGCUCAUCCGGGUUUUUACCCGGUGCACUCUUCUAUAGGCAGGCCAGCAUCAGUUUGGGCGGUUGGAUAAAGGUCUCUGUCAUGUACCUCUCUUCGGGGAGAACUUAUAGGGGAGACGACAUGCAACCAGCCCGGGCUGAGGUCCGCGCAUCUGCUAGGAUGCUGGCGUAAUGGCUGU
This 603-nucleotide ribosomal RNA is filed under the name uncultured fungus. RNAcentral describes it as "eukaryotic LSU rRNA". It matches the Rfam family "Eukaryotic large subunit ribosomal RNA", at positions 23 to 641 of the family's 3401-position model. Lineage: Eukaryota; Fungi. The record is from RNAcentral.